This 249-nucleotide unclassified non-coding RNA is filed under the name Leucosporidiales sp. RNAcentral's name for it is "partial contains small subunit ribosomal RNA, internal transcribed spacer 1, and 5.8S ribosomal RNA". The stretch from base 1 to 46 matches the Rfam family "Eukaryotic small subunit ribosomal RNA", at positions 1786 to 1831 of the family's 1831-position model. Lineage: Eukaryota; Fungi; Basidiomycota; Microbotryomycetes; Leucosporidiales. The record is from RNAcentral.
AAGUCGUAACAAGGUUUCCGUAGGUGAACCUGCGGAAGGAUCAUUAGUGAAUUAUAGGGCGUCUACUUCGGUAGGGCCUGACCUCCACUUUCUAACUCUGUGCACUCAUUUGGCGGAAAAGAGGAAUAGUGAUUGUCUCGCGACGAUUAGGACUUCCUUCUUUCUGCGGCUUACUUUAAACACCAGUCAAAGUAUGUAACGAAAUAUCGAAACAAAAAAAAACUUUCAACAACGGAUCUCUUGGCUCUC